Molecule: ribosomal RNA, 487 nt
Filed under: uncultured bacterium
Lineage: Bacteria
Description: bacterial SSU rRNA
Rfam family: Bacterial small subunit ribosomal RNA
Source: RNAcentral
GAUGAACGCUAGCGGGAGGCUUAACACAUGCAAGUCGAGGGGCAGCAUAGGGUAGCAAUACUCUGAUGGCGACCGGCAAACGGGUGAGUAACGCGUAUGCAACCUACCCUGUACAGGGGGAUAACCCGGAGAAAUUCGGACUAAUAUCCCGUAAUAAUAUCCGGAGGCAUCUUUGGAUAUUUAAAGUUCCGACGGUACGGGAUGGGCAUGCGUAACAUUAACUGGUUGGUAAGGUAACGGCUUACCAAGGCUAUGAUGUUUAGGGGUCCUGAGAGGGUGGUCCCCCACACUGGUACUGAGACACGGACCAGACUCCUACGGGAGGCAGCAGUGAGGAAUAUUGGUCAAUGGGCGCAAGCCUGAACCAGCCAUCCCCGGUGCAGGAAGACGGCCCUAUGGGUUGUAAACUGCUUUUCCAGGGAGAGAAACUUACGCACGUGUUGCGUGACUGACGGUACCCUGGGAAUAAGCAUCGGCUAACUCCGUG